Molecule: unclassified non-coding RNA, 392 nt
Filed under: soil metagenome
Description: partial contains 5.8S ribosomal RNA, internal transcribed spacer 2, and large subunit ribosomal RNA
Rfam family: 5.8S ribosomal RNA (bases 1-122)
Source: RNAcentral
GAUGAAGAACGUAGCGAAAUGCGAUACUUGGUGUGAAUUGCAGAAUCCCGUGAACCAUCGAGUCUUUGAACGCAAGUUGCGCCCGAAGCCAUUAGGCCGAGGGCACGCCUGCCUGGGCGUCACACGUCGUUGCCCCCCCAUCUACUCCUUCGGGAUUGCGGGGGGCGGAUGAUGGCCUCCCGUGCGCCUCGUCGCGCGGUUGGCAUAAAUGCCAAGUCCUCGGCGACGCACGCCACGACAAUCGGUGGUUGCGAAACCUCGGUUGCCCGUCGUGUGCGGUCGUCGCGCAUCGAGGGCUCGAAAAAAAUUGUCGGGCUCCGGCUCGGCUUUCAACGCGACCCCAGGUCAGGCGGGGUUACCCGCUGAAUUUAAGCAUAUCAAUAAGCGGAGGA